AGUGAACGCUGGCGGUAGGCCUAACACAUGCAAGUCGAACGGCAGCACAGUAAGAGCUUGCUCUUACGGGUGGCGAGUGGCGGACGGGUGAGGAAUACAUCGGAAUCUACUUUUUCGUGGGGGAUAACGUAGGGAAACUUCCGCUAAUACCGCAUACGACCUACGGGUGAAAGCAGGGGAUCUUCGGACCUUGCGCGAUUGAAUGAGCCGAUGUCGGAUUAGCUAGUUGGCGGGGUAAAGGCCCACCAAGGCGACGACCCGUAGCUGGUCUGAGAGGAUGAUCGGCCACACUGGAACUGAGACACGGUCCAGACUCCUACGGGAGGCAGCAGUGGGGAAUAUUGGACAAUGGGCGCAAGCCUGAUCCAGCCAUACCGCGUGGGUGAAGAAGGCCUUCGGGCUGUAAAGCCCUUUUGUUGGGAAAGAAAAGCAGCAGGUUAAUACCCCGCUGUUCUGACGGUACCCAAAGAAUAAGCACCGGCUAACUUCGUG
Molecule: ribosomal RNA, 492 nt
Filed under: uncultured bacterium
Lineage: Bacteria
Description: partial 16S ribosomal RNA
Rfam family: Bacterial small subunit ribosomal RNA
Source: RNAcentral